UACGAAGGGUGCAAGCGUUACUCGGAAUUACUGGGCGUAAAGCGUGCGUAGGUGGUGAGUUAAGUCUGUCGUGAAAGCCCCGGGCUCAACCUGGGGAUGGCGAUGGAUACUGGCUCGCUAGAGUGCGGUAGAGGGUGGUGGAAUUCCCGGUGUAGCAGUGAAAUGCGUAGAGAUCGGGAGGAACAUCAGUUGCGAAGGCGGCCACCUGGACCAGCACUGACACUGAGGCACGAAAGCGUGGGGAGCAAACAGG
RNAcentral lists this ribosomal RNA (253 nucleotides) under uncultured bacterium. RNAcentral's name for it is "partial 16S ribosomal RNA". It matches the Rfam family "Bacterial small subunit ribosomal RNA", at positions 524 to 776 of the family's 1533-position model. The record is from RNAcentral.